RNAcentral lists this unclassified non-coding RNA (220 nucleotides) under Hevea brasiliensis (rubber tree). The record is from RNAcentral. Lineage: Eukaryota; Viridiplantae; Streptophyta; Magnoliopsida; Malpighiales; Euphorbiaceae.
GGUUUUUCAACUUCUCUGACAAUAUGGGUCAUGCCAGCUUUAUAUCCAAGGAAAGCUGUCAACCUGCAAGGUUUCGUUGGAUCAUCUUUGGGGAAAGCCUUCACUUUUCCUCUGUGUCGCGCAGCUCUUUUCCUUGGAAGAAAUCCCAAAGAACCAUGUCUUGGGUGCUCAAACUUACGAUGCGACAUUUUUCCUACCUCAGAGAACUGACGGAAUCGGC